Molecule: ribosomal RNA, 497 nt
Filed under: uncultured bacterium
Lineage: Bacteria
Description: partial 16S ribosomal RNA
Rfam family: Bacterial small subunit ribosomal RNA
Source: RNAcentral
GACGAACGCUGGCGGCGUGCCUAAUACAUGCAAGUUGAGCGCUGAAGGUUGGUACUUGUACCAACUGGAUGAGCAGCGCACGGGUGAGUAACGCGUGUGGAAUCUGCCUUUGAGCGGGGGACAACAUUUGGAAACGAAUGCUAAUACCGCAUAAGAACUUUAAACACAAGUUUUAAGUUUGAAAGAUGCAAUUGCAUCACUCAAAGAUGAUCCCGCGUUGUAUUAGCUAGUUGGUGAGGUAAAGGCUCACCAAGGCGAUGAUACAUAGCCGACCUGAGAGGGUGAUCGGCAAAAUUGGGAAUGAGACAAGGCCCAAAAUCAUACGGGAGGCAGCAGUAGGGAAUCUUAGGCAAUGGACGAAAGUCUGACCGAGAAACGACGCGUGAGUGAAGAAGGUUUUCGGAUCGUAAAACUCUGUUGGUAGAGAAGAACGUUGGUGAGAGUGGAAAGCGCAUAAAGUGACGGUAACUACCCAGAAAGGGACGGCUAACUACGUG